RNAcentral lists this ribosomal RNA (490 nucleotides) under uncultured bacterium. Its description in RNAcentral is "SSU rRNA". It matches the Rfam family "Bacterial small subunit ribosomal RNA", at positions 26 to 518 of the family's 1533-position model. The record is from RNAcentral.
AGAGCGAACGCUGGCGGCGUGCCUAACACAUGCAAGUCGAACGUGAACGGGGGCAACUCCUAGUAAAGUGGCGUACGGGUGAGUAACACGUAGGUAAUCUACCUUAGAGUCUGGGAUAACCUGCCGAAAGGCGGGCUAAUACUGGAUAGAGCGACGGAAGCCGUAAUGGUUUUUUCGGGAAAGGGAGCCUGAUAAGGGCCUUUGCUCUAAGAUGAGCCUGCGUCUGAUUAGUUAGUUGGUGGGGUAAUGGCCUACCAAGACGAUGAUCAGUAGCUGGUCUGAGAGGAUGACCAGCCACAUUGGGGACUGAGACACGGCCCAGACUCCUACGGGAGGCAGCAGUGGGGAAUAUUGCGCAAUGGGGGAAACCCUGACGCAGCGACGCCGCGUGUGGGAUGACGGCCUUCGGGUUGUAACCACUGUCGCGAGGGACGAAAAAAAUGACGGUACCUCGAAGGAAGCACCGGCGUAACUCUGUGCCAGCAGCCGC